GAUCACCGGUUCCCGUACGAUCGCCGAAGUUAAGCAACGUCGAAAAUGGUCAGUACCUAGAUGGGUGACAGUUUGGAAAUACCAAGUGCU
Acanthosepion pharaonis is the source of this 90-nucleotide non-coding RNA. The record is from the annotation of a GenBank genome assembly. Lineage: Eukaryota; Metazoa; Mollusca; Cephalopoda; Sepiida; Sepiidae.